UGGGGAACUUUGGACAAUGGGCGCAAGCCUGAUCCAGCCAUGCCGCGUGAGUGAAGAAGGCCUUCGGGUUGUAAAGCUCUUUCGGCGGGGAAGAAAUCGCACUAGUUAAUACCUGGUGUGGAUGACGGUACCCGAAUAAGAAGCACCGGCUAACUACGUGCCAGCAGCCGCGGUAAUACGGAGGGUGCGAGCGUUAAUCGGAAUUACUGGGCGUAAAGCGUGCGUAGGCGGCUCGUUAAGUCAGAUGUGAAAGCCCUGGGCUCAACCUGGGAACUGCAUUUGAAACUGGCGAGCUAGAGUUUGAGAGAGGUAAGUGGAAUUUCAGGUGUAGCGGUGAAAUGCGUAGAGAUCUGAAGGAACACCAGUGGCGAAGGCGGCUACCUGGACAGAUACUGACGCUGAGGCGCGAGAGCGUGGGGAGCAAACAGG
This 429-nucleotide ribosomal RNA is filed under the name uncultured bacterium. RNAcentral describes it as "bacterial SSU rRNA". It matches the Rfam family "Bacterial small subunit ribosomal RNA", at positions 355 to 776 of the family's 1533-position model. The record is from RNAcentral.